Long non-coding RNA from Triticum aestivum (bread wheat), 2391 nucleotides. RefSeq lists it as uncharacterized. The transcript is spliced from 3 exons. The record is from RefSeq and is a predicted model, not a curated record. Lineage: Eukaryota; Viridiplantae; Streptophyta; Magnoliopsida; Poales; Poaceae.
GGUAGGGUUUGUCCCGAAUCGGUGGAAAUCCAUCAACUAUCCCCCUUCCGCCGCUGCCGCCGCUUCCAACAUUGGGCGCAACUGCCCCUUCCGCCGCCGCCCUUCCCCGGUGCGGCGACGCCGCCCUGCUCCACCAGGAGCCCAGGACCGGCGGGCUGGGGCCUCCCCGUACGAACGCGCCAGCGCUACUGCGUGCUGGUCCAGCAACCCCAGCCGUCCAGGGGACGCCAUCGCCGCCGCCUGGUCUCCAGCCGUCCCUCUGGUUUCCUCCCUCCUCUCCACACUCCAGACAGGACGACCGGCGGUCGCCUCCCUCUAGUCCUGACCAGGACGCUGUGUAUCGAUGGAUUUAUAAUCUAUAAAGGAGCUAUUGCUUUCUCCUAGACCAAGUGAGGAAUACUUGGCUGGUGUAGCCGGUUUUCUUGACUUUGCAUACAUCGGGAAAAGUUCUGAUGCCAAGAUCCUUGGCCCAUGCGUCAUAUGUGUCAAUGGAUCGUUACAGAAGCGGGAGGACGUGUAUGAUCACUUGGAUAUAUUGUUUGGGGUUGCCAUGGGGAAACAACAUCAUUCAUCUCUGCUAACAAACAAGGUGAAACUCCAACACACAUGAGAAGUAACAAAAGGUCACGAUCACAGUUUGAAGGAACAAAAUCUAAUAUGCGUCAGUUAGUGGAAGAUGUUUUCUGUGGACCUCCAAUGAUAGAACCUGAAACCCAAAAUCCAUCUAAACCAGGACCAGACCCUGAAUCCCAAUCUUUCUAUGACCUUUUGAGAGAUGCAGAUCAACCUUUAUGGCCAGGCUGUGAACUAUCCAUACUUUCUCUUGUUGUUAUUCUCUUCCACAUAAAAGCCACUAACAAGUGGAGCAAUAAAUCUUUAAAUGAUUUGCUAGCAGUUCUGCAGAAAGCAAUUCUAAUGGUAAGAACUUACCUAGUACAUUUUCUGACGCGAAGAAGAUCGUUGGAAAGCUUGGGCUUAGUUAUGUGAGAAUCAUUCUUGUGAAAAUAACUGCCAGCUUUAUCGAAAAGAGAAAGCAGUGAUGAUUUUUGUUCAGUGUGUGGAACUUCAAGGUGGAAGAACAUACCAGAUAAAACUACUUUGACUAUAAGAAGGAAAGAAGGAAGGCAAUCCCAAGGAAGGUGUUACGGUACUUUCCAAUUAAGCCAAGGCUUAAGAGGCUUUUCAUGCAUAAAGAUACAGCUACAGCUUUAAGAUGGCAUGACCAAGAACGCACAAAGGAUGGAGCAUUGCAUCAUUUAGCUGAUUCAGAGGCUUGGAAGGCCAUUGAUUCCAAGUAUAAACACAUCGCAUCAAACUCCCGGAACAUGAGGUUUGGAAUAGGAGCCGAUCAAGUGUUUUACCUAGAAGACGAACUGAACCCAGGUUGGUCAGUGGUGAUGCAGAAUAAACUACCUAGAGAUAGAUGUGACACUGGAACUGAUGAAUGCACACGAGACGUAGAAGCUGAGCCAUUCCAUGUUUCUCACCUCACGGAUAUGUUUAAAAAGAAAAGGAAAUAUCAACAUUGGGUAAGAUCCGAUAUUGAGGGAACAAUUGUCGGUGCUAAUGAUAAUGCUUUGAUCGAUGAAGAACAGUGAUUGUACAUCAUAUAAAGAUUGUUGGCUGAGCUUACACCCUUCAGAAAAUUCGAAGGAAUGAGGUCUUCCACUCAACAUAUAAACCCAUUUUUUUUUCUUUAUUGCUUUUCAGUUUCUCGUCCUAUUUUCUGUUGAUGCUGCCAUUGUGGAUUGUGAUAACUGUUAGUACUUCACCCUUACUGUCCUGAAGUAAUCUCAAAGAGCGAGAGUAGCGUGGCAUCUUAAAAUAUUUUUGCCCCGCAAUGGUGAGUGCUUCCUACAGGUGCUUAAACUACUUUAAUUAACGCAGAGCAAGGCUUACUACGGUUUUACUGAAGGUCAAGCACCGGCUAGCACCAGAAGCAAGACUUUGCUUUCGUCCCUCCUCUUAUGCACCUGUGCUCAGCGAUCUUGAAAAACAACCCGUUUUUUUGGUUGAAGCGUCCGCCUAAGCACCUGCAUUGUACAAGGCCUAAGUAUCCCUAUAUGCAUUGAUUUUAACUUGAUUCUUUUUGAUUUGUUAUGAACUUUUUCUCGUGCGCUUCAGUAAAUCUUCUUUUUCAGGAAAUUUUGCAAGUGAAGAUUAGAAGGAUUGUUCUAAACUGAUGGAUGAAGCAAUGUGUUCUUUUAGCGGGCUUUUAUAUGUUUGCAUAGUUUUUGCAAUUGGAAAUAGAUACACUUUUGUCGAAGAAGUAUUAUGUUAGAUUUACCAUCUUGUAAACUUAGUUUAUGUCUGUUUGAAAUUGGCGUUUUGAUUUAUGUGGGAUGCUGGUUUGCUGUCAAAACCUGAUUCAAUAUUUCCUUUGUUGUUGUG